RNAcentral lists this ribosomal RNA (265 nucleotides) under uncultured bacterium. RNAcentral describes it as "partial 16S ribosomal RNA". It matches the Rfam family "Bacterial small subunit ribosomal RNA", at positions 88 to 354 of the family's 1533-position model. The record is from RNAcentral.
CCGGCGACCGGCGGACGGGUGCGUAACGCGUAUGUAACCUACCUUUGACAGGGGGAUAACAUCGAGAAAUUGGUACUAAUACCCCAUAACAUCACCGGAGGCAUCUUCGGUGGUUGAAAACUCAGGUGGUCAGAGAUGGACAUGCGUUGUAUUAGCUAGUUGGUGGGGUAACGGCUCACCAAGACAACGAUACAUAGGGGGACUGAGAGGUUAACCCCCCACAUUGGUACUGAGACACGGCCCAGACUCCUACGGGAGGCAGCAG